RNAcentral lists this ribosomal RNA (964 nucleotides) under uncultured bacterium. Its description in RNAcentral is "bacterial SSU rRNA". It matches the Rfam family "Bacterial small subunit ribosomal RNA", at positions 8 to 1016 of the family's 1533-position model. The record is from RNAcentral.
AGAGUUUGAUCCUGGCUCAGAACGAACGCUGGCGGCAGGCUUAACACAUGCAAGUCGAACGCGUGUAGCAAUACACGAGUGGCGCACGGGUGAGUAACGCGUGGAUAUCUGCCUUUUGGUUCGGAAUAACUCCGGGAAACUGGAGCUAAUACCGGAUGGUUCCUACGGGAUAAAGAUUUAUCGCCAAAAGAUGAGUCCGCGUACGAUUAGCUAGUUGGUGAGGUAAUGGCUCACCAAGGCGACGAUCGUUAGCUGGUCUGAGAGGACGAUCAGCCACACUGGGACUGAGACACGGCCCAGACUCCUACGGGAGGCAGCAGUGGGGAAUAUUGGACAAUGGGGGCAACCCUGAUCCAGCCAUGCCGCGUGAGUGAUGAAGGCCUUCGGGUUGUAAAGCUCUUUUGGCGGGGACGAUGAUGACGGUACCCGCAGAAUAAGCCCCGGCUAACUUCGUGCCAGCAGCCGCGGUAAGACGAAGGGGGCUAGCGUUGUUCGGAAUUACUGGGCGUAAAGCGAGUGUAGGUGGUUGUCAUAGUCAGGUGUGAAAGCCUUGAGCUCAACUCAAGAAAUGCACUUGAUACUGGGCGACUAGAGGACCGGAGAGGAUAGUGGAAUUCCCAGUGUAGUGGUGAAAUACGUAGAGAUUGGGAAGAACACCAGUGGCGAAGGCGGCUAUCUGGACGGUUUCUGACACUAAGACUCGAAAGCGGGGGGAGCAAACAGGAUUAGAUACCCUGGUAGUCCACGCCGUAAACGAUGGGUGCUAGACGUUGGCGAGCUUGCUCGUCAGUGUCGCAGCUAACGCGUUAAGCACCCCGCCUGGGGAGUACGGCCGCAAGGUUGAAACUCAAGGAAUUGACGGGGGCCCGCACAAGCGGUGGAGCAUGUGGUUCAAUUCGACGCAACGCGCAGAACCUUACCAGCCCUUGACAUGUGACUCGCCGGCUCCAGAGACGGAGCCUUC